Molecule: ribosomal RNA, 362 nt
Filed under: uncultured rumen bacterium
Lineage: Bacteria
Description: partial 16S ribosomal RNA
Source: RNAcentral
UAUUCCCCACUGCUGCCUCCCGUAGGAGUCUGGGCCGUGUCUCAGUCCCAAUGUGGCCGUCCGCCCUCUCAGGCCGGCUACUGAUCGUCGCUUUGGUGGGCCGUUACCUCACCAACUGGCUAAUCAGACGCGGGUCCAUCUCAGACCACCGGAGUUUUUCACACCGCUCCAUGCGAAGCUGUGCGCUUAUGCGGUAUUACCAGCCGUUUCCAGCUGCUAUCCCCCGGUCUGAGGCAGGUUUUCCCACGCGUUACUCACCCGUCCGCCACUCAGUACAAGAUCUUCCGUCCGAAAACUUCCGUUCUUAUACCUCGUUCGACUUGCAUGUGUUAAGCACGCCGCCAGCGUUCAUCCUGAGCCAA